Molecule: long non-coding RNA, 141 nt
Organism: Myotis lucifugus (little brown bat)
Lineage: Eukaryota; Metazoa; Chordata; Mammalia; Chiroptera; Vespertilionidae
Exons: 3
Source: RefSeq, a predicted model, not a curated record
UUGCCCCAGAGUAGAAGGAAGUGAAAUCCCUGCCACCAGCUAGAACAGUAGGUGACUAGAUUGUCCUUUGGCUAUUAGAAAGAACAAAGUCAAAAUACUGAAAAAGGAUAAAUAACACACAGACAGAUAUUUUGAAAUGAC